Molecule: long non-coding RNA, 517 nt
Filed under: Ananas comosus (pineapple)
Lineage: Eukaryota; Viridiplantae; Streptophyta; Magnoliopsida; Poales; Bromeliaceae
Description: long non-coding RNA (ACOM_LNC010172)
Source: RNAcentral
UGUAUUUAUGUUUGAGAGUAAAUAUUGUAUAGGGUGAGGUGUGAGUGUUUGUACUUACGUUUUGGAAGAAUGUAAAAGAUGAAAUUAAAUGUAUUAAGUUGAAUGAAUGUAAUAGUUAGAACUUUCUCUCUUUAUCUACUUGUAUGCUUCAUACUUAUAUCUUGCUCUUAGUUGUUUGCGCUGGUGGCGCUCUUUGUGAUCGUGUAUUUAUGAAUUGAUUCCUGGGUAAAUUCUUAUACAUGAUCUGUUGGUUAGCCUUACGCGGGUAGGGGAGGUCCUGUCCGUUCGGCGUCUGUUCGACGCGCCCGGACUGGACCAAAUUGGUUACGGUCUCGGGGUGUGACAAUAUCCACACAUGUAUCUUGAUUACAUUUAACCAAAUACAAGCUUUCCAUGAACUUACAUUCUUUUGCAUACACCUUACAUAUCCAUCAUCUAAAAAUAUAUAAAUUAACAUCAUUUACAUAUUUACAUUCCAUUACACCUUUCAUCAUAACCAAAAGAUAAACAAGGUACC